UCGGCAGUGGUGAACAAUGGUGAACCUAUCGAUUCGGACUUCUAAUCCGCCGGUCGCAGGUUCGAAUCCUGCCGGGCGCG
RNAcentral lists this transfer RNA (80 nucleotides) under uncultured Chloroflexia bacterium. RNAcentral describes it as "tRNA-Pseudo-TCT". The record is from RNAcentral. Lineage: Bacteria; Bacillati; Chloroflexota; Chloroflexia.